AGAGUUUGAUCAUGGCUCAGAUUGAACGCUGGCGGCAUGCCUUACACAUGCAAGUCGAACGGCAGCGCGGGAGCAAUCCUGGCGGCGAGUGGCGAACGGGUGAGUAAUACAUCGGAACGUGCCCAAUCGUGGGGGAUAACGCAGCGAAAGCUGUGCUAAUACCGCAUACGAUCUACGGAUGAAAGCAGGGGACCGCAAGGCCUUGCGCGAAUGGAGCGGCCGAUGGCAGAUUAGGUAGUUGGUGGGGUAAAGGCUCACCAAGCCAACGAUCUGUAGCUGGUCUGAGAGGACGACCAGCCACACUGGGACUGAGACACGGCCCAGACUCCUACGGGAGGCAGCAGUGGGGAAUUUUGGACAAUGGGCGCAAGCCUGAUCCAGCCAUUCCGCGUGCAGGAUGAAGGCCCUCGGGUUGUAAACUGCUUUUGUACGGAACGAAAAGGCCUGAGUUAAUACCUCGGGCUCAUGACGGUACCGUAAGAAUAAGCACCGGCUAACUACGUGCCAGCAGCCGCGGUAAUACGUAGGGUGCAAGCGUUAAUCGGAAUUACUGGGCGUAAAGCGUGCGCAGGCGGUGAUGUAAGACAGGUGUGAAAUCCCCGGGCUUAACCUGGGAACUGCAUUUGUGACUGCAUCGCUGGAGUGCGGCAGAGGGGGAUGGAAUUCCGCGUGUAGCAGUGAAAUGCGUAGAUAUGCGGAG
RNAcentral lists this ribosomal RNA (700 nucleotides) under uncultured bacterium. RNAcentral describes it as "bacterial SSU rRNA". It matches the Rfam family "Bacterial small subunit ribosomal RNA", at positions 8 to 703 of the family's 1533-position model. The record is from RNAcentral.